Herpailurus yagouaroundi (jaguarundi) is the source of this 145-nucleotide long non-coding RNA. RefSeq lists it as uncharacterized. Lineage: Eukaryota; Metazoa; Chordata; Mammalia; Carnivora; Felidae. The record is from RefSeq and is a predicted model, not a curated record. The transcript has 2 exons.
GGAGAGGGUGGGUGAUGGGUAUUGAGGAGGGCACCUUUUGGGAUGAGCACUGGGAGUCAUAUGUAAGUGAUUAGUAACUGGGUUCUACUCCUGAAGCCAAGACUACACUGUAUGUUAACUAACUUGAAUUUAAAUAAAAAAAAAA